GACGAACGCUGGCGGCGUGCUUAACACAUGCAAGUCGAACGGAAAGGCCCUGCUUUUGUGGGGUGCUCGAGUGGCGAACGGGUGAGUAACACGUGAGUAACCUGCCCUUGACUUUGGGAUAACUUCAGGAAACUGGGGCUAAUACCGGAUAGGAGCUCCUGCUGCAUGGUGGGGGUUGGAAAGUUUCGGCGGUUGGGGAUGGACUCGCGGCUUAUCAGCUUGUUGGUGGGGUAGUGGCUUACCAAGGCUUUGACGGGUAGCCGGCCUGAGAGGGUGACCGGCCACAUUGGAACUGAGAUACGGCCCAGACUCCUACGGGGGGCAGCAGUGGGGAAUAUUGCACAAUGGGCGGAAGCCUGAUGCAGCAACGCCGCGUGCGGGAUGACGGCCUUCGGGUUGUAAACCGCUUUCGCCUGUGACGAAGCGUGAGUGACGGUAAUGGGUAAAGAAGCACCGGCUAACUACGU
Molecule: ribosomal RNA, 467 nt
Filed under: uncultured bacterium
Lineage: Bacteria
Description: partial 16S ribosomal RNA
Rfam family: Bacterial small subunit ribosomal RNA
Source: RNAcentral